GGAGAUUUAAAAGGUGUCUCUGACAUCACUGAGUUCAUUCUGUCGAAGACUCCCUUUCUUAAAAACGCUGUACACUCUUUACUCUUUUUGGAUGUUCUAAAUCUCACCUUUUACGAGGCCUAGAAGGGUGAAGUGACAGGUCCAAGAUCACACACGGCUGUGGUAUAGCUGGAAUAGAACACAUUUCACAUGUCUCAGUCUUGUGCUUCAAUCACAGGACCACCUUCCCUCCCCAGGUUCACUCCUCCAUGUUGUUACACCACACGUCCUUCAUGACUAUGUCUAUGUCUCCGGAGCCAGAUUUAGGCCUUUUGUUUCUUCUCCGUCAGACAUCUGUCCUCUUUGCCUGGAUCGCUGUUCAGAGCAGCUAAAGUACAUAUAAACUACCUUGUGUACAACACACUUUGAUAGCUCACAAUGAGACACCAAAGCUGAAAUAAACAUAGCCAGGAAAAAAAAUGUUAAAUCCCUACUUCAAAACUUGUUUUGUAUUUUCUUAUUCCUUAAAGUUAUUUUUAAGUGUCUA
Mauremys reevesii (Reeves's turtle) is the source of this 526-nucleotide long non-coding RNA. RefSeq lists it as uncharacterized. NCBI's taxonomy places the organism in Eukaryota, Metazoa, Chordata, Testudines, Geoemydidae. The record is from RefSeq and is a predicted model, not a curated record. The transcript is spliced from 3 exons.